RNAcentral lists this ribosomal RNA (385 nucleotides) under uncultured Katablepharidophyta. RNAcentral's name for it is "partial small subunit ribosomal RNA". It matches the Rfam family "Eukaryotic small subunit ribosomal RNA", at positions 30 to 432 of the family's 1831-position model. Lineage: Eukaryota; Cryptophyceae; Kathablepharidacea. The record is from RNAcentral.
GCUUGUCUCAAAGAUUAAGCCAUGCAUGUCUAAGUAUAAACACCUUUAUACUGUGAAACUGCGUACAGCUCAUUAAAUCAGUAAUAAUUUAUUUGAUGGUGACUUACUACAUGGAUAACCGUAGUAACCUAGAGCUAAUACAUGCACAAAAUCCCGACUUACGAAGGGAUGUAUUUAUUAGAUACAAACCAACAUCGUGGUGAUUCAUAAUAACUUUGCGAAUCGUAUGCCUCACGGCGACGAUGAAUCAUUCAAAUUUCUGCCCUAUCAACUUUCGAUGGUACGGUAUUGGCCUACCAUGGUUACCACGGGUAACGGGGAAUUAGGGUUCGGUUCCGGAGAGGGGGCCUGAGAAAUGGCCACCACAUCCAAGGAAGGCAGCAGG